UACGUAGGGUGCAAGCGUUGUCCGGAAUUAUUGGGCGUAAAGAGCGUGUAGGCGGCUUGGAAGGUCAGCUGUGAAAACUCGAGGCUCAACCUCGAGACGUCGGUUGAAACCACCUGGCUAGAGUCCGGAAGAGGAGAGUGGAAUUCCCGGUGUAGCGGUGAAAUGCGCAGAUAUCGGGAAGAACACCCGUGGCGAAGGCGGCUCUCUGGGACGGUACUGACGCUGAGACGCGAAAGCGUGGGGAGCGAACAGG
This 253-nucleotide ribosomal RNA is filed under the name uncultured bacterium. RNAcentral's name for it is "partial 16S ribosomal RNA". It matches the Rfam family "Bacterial small subunit ribosomal RNA", at positions 524 to 776 of the family's 1533-position model. The record is from RNAcentral.